This 265-nucleotide ribosomal RNA is filed under the name uncultured bacterium. Its description in RNAcentral is "partial 16S ribosomal RNA". It matches the Rfam family "Bacterial small subunit ribosomal RNA", at positions 28 to 297 of the family's 1533-position model. The record is from RNAcentral.
GAUGAACGCUAGCGGCAGGCUUAACACAUGCAAGUCGAGGGGUAUGCUUCUUCGGAAGCAGAGACCGGCGCACGGGUGCGUAACGCGUAUGCAAUCUACCUUUUACAGAGGGAUAGCCCAGAGAAAUUUGGAUUAAUACCUCAUAGUAUUAUAGAAUGGCAUCAUUUUAUAAUUAAAGUCACAACGGUAAAAGAUGAGCAUGCGUCCCAUUAGCUAGUUGGAAGGUAACGGCUUACCAAGGCUACGAUGGGUAGGGGUCCUGAGA